RNAcentral lists this non-coding RNA (657 nucleotides) under Soboliphyme baturini. RNAcentral's name for it is "Eukaryotic large subunit ribosomal RNA". It matches the Rfam family "Eukaryotic large subunit ribosomal RNA", at positions 808 to 1449 of the family's 3401-position model. The record is from Rfam by way of RNAcentral. Lineage: Eukaryota; Metazoa; Nematoda; Enoplea; Dioctophymatida; Soboliphymatidae.
UUUAAAAGCAUUAAAAUAGCGAACUAUACCUGAAAAGAACAAAGAAGAAAUUCAGGUGAAUUUUUAUAACAGGUUGACGUGCAAGUAAUCGUAAGAUUUGCGUAUUUGAAAAAAAGUCAAUCUAAUAAUCCAUCAGCUGGUUCUCUUCGAAGUUUCCCUCUGGACGGUUGGUUGCAUAAUGACUAGUGUUAUGCGGUAAAGUGAAUGAUUAGAGAUACUGAAGAGUGAACAUUUUCAAACUAUUCUUAAACUGUGAAUUGGCUUGGUACGCAGCUUUCGUUAGCAAAGUUGCGCGAAAGAAAUGCCAAUGGCUAAAGGACAAUUUUUGGUACAAAGAACUGUCAACGGGGGAUGAUCCAGACAUCGAUUUAAGGCGCUGAUACUAAAGUUGAGCAGAUACAUCGAAAUUUGUUAAUUGAUAGAUACUGCAGGAUGAUGGCAAUGGUGAUUGAAAUUGAUUAAGGAGCGUAUAACAACUCACCUGCCGAGCAAAUAGCCCUGAAAAUAAACGGCGCUGGAAUUACUCCAGCCUUUUGGCAUUCUCCACCGCUUUGUUUUUCCGGCGUUACGCAUUUGAAGUUGAUAGGAGUAGAAGAAGCUCAACAUUUGCCGUAUAGUCAGUACUUGAGCCUUGUGCGAGCCGUCUUUGGCGCAGAU